CAAGGUAAACGAUAGUCUUCGUCAUUGACUGCAAGGGGAGAGCAGCUUAAUUAUUGAGUACCUCAGAGAGACUGCGGAGUGAAGACCCUCAUUCCUGAUGUAUCUCGAAGCAUUGAUGUUCUCUCAUGCCAGCCGUUCAGACUGCGCCCAUUUGUUUGCACAAUACAGUACACUUAUUGUGAAAUUUGCAUUUCUUGCAUUCGGAGAAGAGAAAGAGGGCAAUAACGAAUCCAAAAAUAUCAGUUCAACUUGACCCUGUUUUUGUUAGCUUGAAUGCCCAUGAGGCCAUGAUCAAUCCUCGCAAGGUUGCUUUUCAAACAUGGAUUAAGGGAGAGCUACUGCAAAAUCCCUGGAGCCAAGCAGAAAUGUCAAAAGGAAGCCAAUACCACUAUUGUUUCAAGAUUAAGGUGUAGAGGAACAUGAUGAAGAAGCAAGUGCAAGUUUAUC
Long non-coding RNA from Lolium rigidum, 447 nucleotides. RefSeq lists it as uncharacterized. NCBI's taxonomy places the organism in Eukaryota, Viridiplantae, Streptophyta, Magnoliopsida, Poales, Poaceae. The record is from RefSeq and is a predicted model, not a curated record. The transcript is spliced from 3 exons.